Chlorocebus sabaeus (green monkey) is the source of this 305-nucleotide non-coding RNA. It matches the Rfam family "Metazoan signal recognition particle RNA". From Rfam's summary of the family: The signal recognition particle (SRP) is a universally conserved ribonucleoprotein. Lineage: Eukaryota; Metazoa; Chordata; Mammalia; Primates; Cercopithecidae. The record is from Rfam.
GCCGGGCGCGGUGGCUCAAGCCUGUAAUCCCAGCACUUUGGGAGGCCGAGACGGGCAGAUCACGAGGUCAGGAGAUCGAGACCAUCCUGGUUAACACGGUGAAACCCCGUCUCUACUAAAAAAUACAAAAAAAUAGCCGGGCGAAGUGGCGGGCGCCUGUAGUCCCAGCUNNNNNNNNNNAGCUGGGACUACAGGCGCCCGCCACUUCGCCCGGCUAUUUUUUUGUAUUUUUUAGUAGAGACGGGGUUUCACCGUGUUAACCAGGAUGGUCUCGAUCUCCUGACCUCGUGAUCUGCCCGUCUCGG